GAUGAACGCUAGCGGCAGGCUUAACACAUGCAAGUCGAACGGGAUCUUCGGAUCUAGUGGCGGACGGGUGAGUAACGCGUGGGAACGUGCCCUUUGCUUCGGAAUAGCCCCGGGAAACUGGGAGUAAUACCGGAUGUGCCCUUCGGAGGAAAGAUUUAUCGCCAAAGGAUCGGCCCGCGUUGGAUUAGGUAGUUGGUGGGGUAAUGGCCUACCAAGCCGACGAUCCAUAGCUGGUUUGAGAGGAUGAUCAGCCACACUGGGACUGAGACACGGCCCAGACUCCUACGGGAGGCAGCAGUGGGGAAUCUUAGACAAUGGGCGCAAGCCUGAUCUAGCCAUGCCGCGUGAGCGAUGAAGGCCUUAGGGUUGUAAAGCUCUUUCAGUGGGGAAGAUAAUGACUGUACCCACAGAAGAAGCCCCGGCUAACUCCGUG
This 433-nucleotide ribosomal RNA is filed under the name uncultured bacterium. RNAcentral describes it as "bacterial SSU rRNA". It matches the Rfam family "Bacterial small subunit ribosomal RNA", at positions 28 to 507 of the family's 1533-position model. The record is from RNAcentral.